Molecule: ribosomal RNA, 488 nt
Filed under: uncultured bacterium
Lineage: Bacteria
Description: bacterial SSU rRNA
Rfam family: Bacterial small subunit ribosomal RNA
Source: RNAcentral
AGAGUUUGAUCAUGGCUCAGGAUGAACGCUGGCGGCGUGCCUAACACAUGCAAGUCGAGCGAUCUCUUCGGAGAGAGCGGCGGACGGGUGAGUAACGCGUGGGUAACCUGCCCUGUACACACGGAUAACAUACCGAAAGGUAUACUAAUACGGGAUAACAUAUAAAAGUCGCAUGGCUUUUGUAUCAAAGCUCCGGCGGUACAGGAUGGACCCGCGUCUGAUUAGCUAGUUGGUAAGGUAAUGGCUUACCAAGGCAACGAUCAGUAGCCGACCUGAGAGGGUGAUCGGCCACACUGGAACUGAGACACGGUCCAGACUCCUACGGGAGGCAGCAGUGGGGAAUAUUGCACAAUGGGCGAAAGCCUGAUGCAGCAACGCCGCGUGAGCGAUGAAGGCCUUCGGGUCGUAAAGCUCUGUCCUUAAGGAAGAUAAUGACGGUACUUGAGGAGGAAGCCCCGGCUAACUACGUGCCAGCAGCCGCGGUAAUC